GGUUUCUCUGUGUAGCGCUGGCUGUCCUGGAACUCACUCUGUAGACGAGGCUGGCCUGGAACUCACAGAUCCACCUGCCUCUGCCUCCCGAGUGCUGGGAUUAAAGGCGUGCGCCAUCACUGCCC
Molecule: microRNA precursor, 125 nt
Filed under: Cricetulus griseus (Chinese hamster)
Lineage: Eukaryota; Metazoa; Chordata; Mammalia; Rodentia; Cricetidae
Description: miRNA (ENSCGRG00001002997.1)
Source: RNAcentral